This 253-nucleotide ribosomal RNA is filed under the name uncultured bacterium. RNAcentral's name for it is "partial 16S ribosomal RNA". It matches the Rfam family "Bacterial small subunit ribosomal RNA", at positions 524 to 776 of the family's 1533-position model. The record is from RNAcentral.
GACGUAGGAGGCGAGCGUUGUCCGGAUUCAUUGGGCGUAAAGAGCUCGUAGGCGGUUUGUCGCGUCGGAUGUGAAAACCCGGGGCUUAACCCCGGGCCUGCAUUCGAUACGGGCUGACUAGAGUACGGCAGGGGAGACUGGAAUUCCUGGUGUAGCGGUGAAAUGCGCAGAUAUCAGGAGGAACACCGGUGGCGAAGGCGGGUCUCUGGGCCGAUACUGACGCUGAGGAGCGAAAGCGUGGGGAGCGAACAGG